RNAcentral lists this ribosomal RNA (446 nucleotides) under uncultured bacterium. RNAcentral's name for it is "bacterial SSU rRNA". It matches the Rfam family "Bacterial small subunit ribosomal RNA", at positions 330 to 792 of the family's 1533-position model. The record is from RNAcentral.
CCCAGACUCCUACGGGAGGCAGCAGUCGGGAAUAUUGCGCAAUGGAGGAAACUCUGACGCAGUGACGCCGCGUGCAGGAAGAAGGUUUUCGGAUUGUAAACUGCUUUAGACAGGGAAGAAACAAGACAGUACCUGUAGAAUAAGCUCCGGCUAACUACGUGCCAGCAGCCGCGGUAAUACGUAGGGAGCAAGCGUUAUCCGGAUUUAUUGGGUGUAAAGGGUGCGUAGACGGAGAAGCAAGUUAGUUGUGAAAUCCCUCGGCUUAACUGAGGAACUGCAACUAAAACUACUUCCCUUGAGUGCUGGAGAGGAAAGUGGAAUUCCUAGUGUAGCGGUGAAAUGCGUAGAUAUUAGGAGGAACACCAGUGGCGAAGGCGGUCAACUGGACAGCAACUGACGCUGAGGCGCGAAAGCGUGGGGAGCAAACAGGAUUAGAUACCCUUGUA